AUGGGGGAACGUCAUUGGUUGAGGGCCUUCAAGUGGUCGUGCCCAGCUGGAAAAUGGACAGGACCCACCUGGGAGGAGGAUGAUGAUUGCAAAGGAUCCCAAUUUGGGGCCAAGAGGCUCCGGGCGGCCGUGACCCUGCUGGAGUGCGGGGGGGACCUCCAGCCCCCCGGGGGGUCCCUGCGCCUCCUCUGCCGAGGGGCCGGGUUCGAUUUUGGGAGUUAUAAAAUGUUCUGGGUGCGCCAGAGACCUGGGCAGGGGCUGGAGUGGCUCGCAGGGAUCACCAACACCGGUGGCAGCACCUGGUACGCGCCGUCAGUGCAGGGCCGGUUCACGAUCUCCAGGGACAACGGGCAGAGCUCGGUGACGCUGACCAUGAACAGCCUCAAGGAAGAGGAUUCUGGAUCCUAUUUCUGUGGGAAAUGUGCUUACACUGGUGUUUGUAGUUCUGAUACUGGUGGUAUUGUCGUGCCGGGCUUGGCCCCAUCCCCAUCCAGCACUGUUGGACCAUCAGGGCGCAGGACGUUGUUCUUUCACUGA
Melospiza melodia melodia is the source of this 537-nucleotide non-coding RNA. The record is from the annotation of a RefSeq genome assembly. Lineage: Eukaryota; Metazoa; Chordata; Aves; Passeriformes; Passerellidae.